CCCUUAGAUGUCCUGGGCCGCACGCGCGCUACACUGAUGCAUUCAACAAGUUCUACCUUGGCCGAGAGGCCUGGGCAAUCUUUUAAACGUGCAUCGUGAUAGGGAUAGAUUAUUGAAAUUAUUAAUCUUGAACGAGGAAUUCCUAGUAAACGCAGAUCAUCAAUCUGCAUUGAUUACGUCCCUGCCCUUUGUACACACCGCCCGUCGCACCUACCGAUUGGAUGGUCCGGUGAAGCCUCGGGAUUGUGGUUCUUGCCGCUUUAUUGUGGCGUGACCGCGAGAACUUGUCUAAACCUUAUCAUCUAGAGGAAGGUGAAGUCGUAACA
RNAcentral lists this ribosomal RNA (326 nucleotides) under uncultured eukaryote. RNAcentral describes it as "partial 18S ribosomal RNA". It matches the Rfam family "Eukaryotic small subunit ribosomal RNA", at positions 1470 to 1796 of the family's 1831-position model. The record is from RNAcentral.